CCUCAUUCCUUCAUCUGUAAAAUGAGUAUAACAAUAGUUUCUGUCACAUUGGAUAGUCAUGAAAAUUAAAUAAUAUUAUACAUGUGAAUUAACUACUUUUAGUUAUAAGCUUGGAACUUUAACUCAGGAGAAACAAAUUGUUUAGGUGACACAUCAUAACUAACUGUCCUGGUGGGGCCAAGUCAUUGUAGGAUAGAAUGCCUCCUUCACAGAGCUCGUGCCAUAGAAACCGCAGGCUCUUUCAGAACUGCCAGGUUGAUUUUUUUUUAAAUUCAUCCCCUAGGAGGCUUACAAACUGCUAAAGGCUUCACUGAAGUCCCAGAUCAUCAGCUAUGGUGACUGUAGCAAAAAGGUGGCUGAAACUUUUUAUAACUUGGGCAGGAUCUGCUUUGCCAAAGGAGAGCUCAGAAAGGCAAUUCAGCUGCUAAGGAAGGUGAGCCAACGAAGGUGAAUUCUGGCUGGUUUGUUACAUUUUAUCCUGGGCUUAUCAGCAGAAUUGAAGAGUGAUGUUUGUAUAUAUGUAUGUAUAUCUCUUCCCUUCCAGGGUGUACAAACCAUUAAAAUGCUGACAGAACAAAGGCUAGAGACUUAGUAAGAUAGAUAGGGAUGCCUCUACCUAACACCUAGUUUUGCUCAAAGUCAGGGAAGAAGUCUAUGAAGAUCAACUAACACUCAAGUGAGCAGAGGGUUGAGUGACAGGCAAUCCACAUAUUGCAUUGAUAAACAUCAAGUUUGGACAAAUUUUUGUCUCAUUUUAGGUUAGCUUAAUGUAAACAAAAAAAAAUCACAAAUAACAGGAAAAAGGUACCUUACUUGAAGAGAACCACCGUAAAUAUCCAUGGUUCUUUUUCAUGAAGUGUCUGCUAAACAUCUUCUGGGGCUUUCAGCUCUCUCGGAGAGUCUGGUGAGCUUUGGUCUCCUUUCCUGUAUAAUGCCCAGAAACAGUCAAAACAAUAAUCUGGGAUAAUCAUAGGGUUAACCUCACUUGUUAUCCUUUUCUUAGGGAUCAUGGUCUUUUAUUGUCUGAUGUAUGGUAUCUUAAAAAUUAAAAAGUUUUAAAAAUUAAUGCACUUUUGUCUACUUUUUUCAUUUUUUUGUUGAUUCAGGUAUAGAGAAAAUCUGGUCCCUACCAUUCCAUGUUGGCUAGAAACAAAGUUCAGCAAUAAAAUUCAAAAUGGAAACCUACCUAAAGUAAAAUUAUGCAGCAUGAGAAAACAAGGCAGCUUUGGGAUAUAUGCCUAAAUCUCAUUUUAUUUAAUUUCUAUCCAUUAGUUAUAGCUAUGUGGAAAAUGCUAAUGGAAUCCACUACUGUAGUCAUGUUUUAAGCAGGGAUGCUAUCAGUUUGGGGCUGUUACUUUAGUUAUCAGCAGCCAUGUUUGGUAGAGGAAGGUGAAGCAAACUGGAGUAUGCAUGCAGCAUGAGUGUUAUAGAAGGUAACUAAAGAGGCUUCAGUGACAGUUCUUUUCCUACUUGGUAGGGAACCAAUGACAUGUAAUAUAGGCAUUCCAAAUUUAAAGUUAUGAUAUUCCAGUUCCACUGGUCCUUUUCUGAGUUAAUUUGCAUUUAAGGUACUUGCUAUAGGAUUCUCUUUAACCUAUUAUGUUUCUCACUUCACAUACAGUGUCUGAUGAUUCAAAUUCUUGUAUAUGGAAGUGAGCAUAGUAGAAGCAAAGAGACAAAAGGCCUCCUUACCCAACUGCAGAGGUAAGUUCUGUUCCUGGGCAUCAACCAGAUCAUCAGUGUGAAUAUACAUCUAGCAAAGGCCUCUCACUGAUUAAACCAGUGUUUAAAGUCAGCUUCUUCUCUGCUGUGUCUAAAAGACCUGACAAGAACAAUUUUAAGGUGGAAAAGUUUAUUGGGGGCUUAUAAUUUCUGAGGUCAAAGUCCAGUUCCAUACCUUGGGGCUGGAGGUGAGGCAAAACAUCAUGACAGAAGAGUGUGGUGGAGGAAGGCAGAUCAGGACAUGGCCACCAACAAGUCAAGAGAGACUCUCCUCACCACAGACAACAUAUGUAUCUACAGGUACACCCCGAUGACCCAGCUUCUCCAGUUACACUCUACCUGCCUACAGUUACCACUCACUACAGUUAUCACAGGAUUAAUGCACUGAUUAGGUUAAGGUUUUGAUAACUGAAUCGUUUCACCUCUAAGUUUUCUUGCAUUAUCUCACACAUGAGCUUUUGGGAAACACCUAAUAUUGAAACCAUACAACCAGAUGGUGAUGAUUUACUUCUGUCAUUGUUACUAGUAAGACAAAAUGCCUCUGCUAUAGAUUUAGCUAAAUCCUGUGCUGAGGGUAACCAACUUAUUUCUUGUAUUCUUUUAGAACACAGUAUUGUAGCUAGGCACAGUGGUACCCACCUGUAAUCCCAGUGACAUAGGAGGCUGAGGCAGGCGGAUCACAAGUUUGAGGCCAGCCUCAGAAACUUAGCAAGAACUCUGUCUAGAGAUAAAAAAAAUAAAAAGGGCUGGGGAUUUAGCUCUAUGGUAAAGUGCCCCUGGGUUUGAUCCCUAGUACUAAAAGUUAUCACACACAGUUUAUAGGUUUCUGCUACAGUAAUAAUGUUCUUUAUAAUAUCUUUUUCAAUGCCAAACAUUAUAGCUAAAUUCUGCAAGUUAAUGCAGUGUGAUAGAUAUGAUAUGGAUUUAUACAAAUUCAAUUAUUUUUCUUUUUUUUUGUCAAAAGAAGGAGCUUUAUUUAUUUAUUUUUAGGAGCUUUAUUUUAUGCAACAUAAAAACAUAAUUGCUUUUACUUUCUACCACUAUAAUAGCAACAUUUUAUCUAGAGUUAGAUCCAAGCUAAGCUUCUGGGAUUUGACAUAACAAAUUGCUUCCCAUAUGUGUCAGUUAUUUUUCUUGAUGAAGGUACAAAGUCCAUGUUCCUAAAUGUAUGGUACAUUCAUUGGGAAUUUACUUAUUUUCAAUGUUAGUGAUGAGAGAACUUGUUUGUAUUCUGUUCUUGAAUGUUUAGACAUAAGCUGAAGAGAAUAUAUGCAGACUUGCCUCAUUCUUUAGCCGUGGUAUAUUACUGAUAUUAUUUACCUCUACAUGAUGUUGACACUGAAAUGUUCUCUGAGAAAGAGGAGAAUUAAAAUUAGUUGAAUAUUUACUAACUGCCUAUCUCUCAUAAAGUAUUUUAUUUAAGCAAGCCUUACAAAUACCCAAUUUGAAAGCUCUCAUUUGAUAGAAGGGAGCCUGAUGUUCUGUAAAGGAAUUUGCCUAAAGCCUCUGUCUUGGACAUUCAAGGAAGUGCUACCCUUUAGAUGAUGUGCUUUUUUCUGAGAGCCUCAAACAAAGAAGGGUCAUCCUUAUUGGGUGAGAGUUAGGACCCUGAUUGCAUUUACCACAUGGGACUCACAAUCCAUCUCUUCUCAGUGGGCUCACCAGGGAGAAAAAAUGAGAAGGAAGAAUACUUUCAGCCCAUCCUCUCUGCACCAACCUCAGUCAGAGCCACAUGUAAGGCAGGACCCACAGAAGGCUAGCUCCUUUUUAAAAAAUCCUUAAGCAGAGGAUGAGGUUCUCCAGCUUCCCUCUGUGAUGCCAAAGUUAGGAGUAUAGAGAGGAACAGCCAAACGGCAACACAGAGAACUUUGUUCCUUGCCUGUCAGUGAAUUGAAAGCAUAUUUGCUUAAUAAGUAACCAUAAAAUAUGAACAAUUAUCAUAUCAAAGUCCUUCAUUUCCCUGACAUUGUACUAUAUUAAUAUGUGUUAUUUCUGAUUGAUAAACCACGCUGCUUGUUAGGUAUUUUUUGUCUCCCAUGAUGAAACAGAGGCUCAGAAUAUUUGUAUAUCUUGUCAGAAAUCUCCAUUUUGGUAAGUGUGGUAAGAUUUGAAUCCAAGUUGAUUAGAUUUCAAAACUGCCCUUAUUUUACUAUAUAAUAUGUAUUCAGAUUUUGAUGAUGGGUACACAUAUGCACAUUACCUGUUCAUCAAGUAAGACUCCAG
This 3945-nucleotide long non-coding RNA is filed under the name Marmota monax (woodchuck). The record is from RNAcentral. Lineage: Eukaryota; Metazoa; Chordata; Mammalia; Rodentia; Sciuridae.